AUUGAACGCUGGCGGCAUGCCUUACACAUGCAAGUCGAACGGCAGCACGGGGCAACCUGGUGGCGAGUGGCGAACGGGUGAGUAAUGCAUCGGAACGUGCCAUUGAGUGGGGGAUAACGUAGCGAAAGUUGCGCUAAUACCGCAUAUUCUGUGAGCAGGAAAGCAGGGGAUCGCAAGACCUUGCGCUGAUUGAGCGGCCGAUAUCAGAUUAGCUAGUUGGUGGGGUAAAGGCCGUACCAAGGCGACGAUCUGUAGCGGGUCUGAGAGGGUGAUCCGCCACACUGGAACUGAGACACGGUCCAGACUCCUACGGGAGGCAGCAGUGGGGGAAUUUUGGGACAAUGGGGGCAACCCUGAUCCAGCCAUGCCGCGUGAGUGAAGAA
Molecule: ribosomal RNA, 383 nt
Filed under: uncultured bacterium
Lineage: Bacteria
Description: bacterial SSU rRNA
Rfam family: Bacterial small subunit ribosomal RNA
Source: RNAcentral